GGUUCUGUGGUCUAAUGGUUAUGACGUCUGCUUCACAUCGGAACUGUUUUCCGAGUUAACGCUGAAGGUUCCCGGUUCGAGCCCGGGCAGAAUCA
Molecule: non-coding RNA, 95 nt
Organism: Rhodofomes roseus
Lineage: Eukaryota; Fungi; Basidiomycota; Agaricomycetes; Polyporales; Fomitopsidaceae
Source: the annotation of a RefSeq genome assembly